Long non-coding RNA from Manis pentadactyla (Chinese pangolin), 438 nucleotides. RefSeq lists it as uncharacterized. Lineage: Eukaryota; Metazoa; Chordata; Mammalia; Pholidota; Manidae. The record is from RefSeq and is a predicted model, not a curated record. The transcript has 2 exons.
AACGAGAAGACGGACACCGAUCGGCCGCCGCAGAUCCAUUCUUUUUUCUUCGCAGGACCACGGGACCAGGGCCCUUCCCUUCUCGUCCAUUGCCCCUUUCCUUCUCGUCCCAUACCCCGAAGGGGGAUCCGGACAGCGCAGGCGCAAUGGGUGCUCGUUGUGCCCCGGCUCCACUCGUACAUCGCAGUGCGCAUGUGCGAGGGAAAGAUCAUUUCAAUCAACUCCUGUGUGUCACCGAGGAGGAACCUCACGCUCACAGCCACUCUUGAAACCCAAGUCUUCUGACUCCUCACUUCAGCCCCCUUUUCCCUUAACAUGCUGUUACCUUAUGCUCUUCACGACCUAACUGAUAAUACAAUAUCAAUAUUAAUUUAAUAUUUAUGGCUGAUUUUGAAGUAACGUUAACUAAUGAUUUGUUAAUAAAAUUUACAAGAAUAA